RNAcentral lists this ribosomal RNA (465 nucleotides) under uncultured bacterium. Its description in RNAcentral is "partial 16S ribosomal RNA". It matches the Rfam family "Bacterial small subunit ribosomal RNA", at positions 28 to 507 of the family's 1533-position model. The record is from RNAcentral.
GACGAACGCUGGCGGCGUGCUUAACACAUGCAAGUCGAACGGAAAGGCCCCUUUGGGGGUACUCGAGUGGUGAACGGGUGAGUAACACGUGAGUAACCUGCCCUUGACUUCGGGAUAACUUCAGGAAACUGGGGCUAAUACCAGAUAGGAAUCCUUGCUGCAUGGUGGGGGUUGGAAAGCUUCGGCGGUUUUGGAUGGACUCGCGGCUUAUCAGCUUGUUGGUGGGGUAGUGGCUUACCAAGGCUUUGACGGGUAGCCGGCCUGAGAGGGCGACCGGCCACAUUGGGACUGAGAUACGGCCCAGACUCCUACGGGAGGCAGCAGUGGGGAAUAUUGCACAAUGGGCGGAAGCCUGAUGCAGCAACGCCGCGUGCGGGAUGACGGCCUUCGGGUUGUAAACCGCUUUCAGCAGGGGCGAAGCUUGUGGUGACGGUACCUGCAGAAGAAGCACCGGCUAACUACGUG